This 71-nucleotide transfer RNA is filed under the name Grandidierina fierinensis. RNAcentral's name for it is "tRNA-Gln". The record is from RNAcentral. Lineage: Eukaryota; Metazoa; Chordata; Lepidosauria; Squamata; Scincidae.
AUUAGAGAAACAGGACUUGAACCUGUACCAGAGAACUCAAAAUCCUCCGUACUCCCGCUAUACUAUUCUCU